AUUGAACGCUGGCGGCAGGCCUAACACAUGCAAGUCGAGCGGAGCGGCGGACGGGUGAGUAAUGCCUAGGAAUCUGACUGGUAGUGGGGGAUAACGUCCGGAAACGGGCGCUAAUACCGCAUACUAUCAGAUGAGCCUAGGUGGGAUUAGCUAGUUGGUGGGGUAAAGGCCUACCACGGGGACGAUCCGUAACUGGUCUGAGAGGAUGAUCAGCCACACUGGAACUGAGACACGGUCCAGACUCCUACGGGAGGCAGGAUGGGGGAAUAUUGGACAAUGGGCGAAAGCCUGAUACAGCCAUGCCGCGUGUGUGAAGAAGGUCUUCGGAUUGUAAAGGACUUUAAGUUGGGAGGCGUUACCAACAGAAUAAGCACCGGCUGACUGCGUGCCAACCGCCGCGGUAAUUC
Molecule: ribosomal RNA, 407 nt
Filed under: uncultured bacterium
Lineage: Bacteria
Description: partial 16S ribosomal RNA
Rfam family: Bacterial small subunit ribosomal RNA
Source: RNAcentral